Molecule: unclassified non-coding RNA, 265 nt
Filed under: Ascomycota sp.
Lineage: Eukaryota; Fungi; Ascomycota
Description: partial contains small subunit ribosomal RNA, internal transcribed spacer 1, and 5.8S ribosomal RNA
Rfam family: Eukaryotic small subunit ribosomal RNA (bases 1-47)
Source: RNAcentral
AAAGUCGUAACAAGGUUUCCGUAGGUGAACCUGCGGAAGGAUCAUUACCGAGUGUCGGGCCCCCCCGGGGGUCCACCCUCCCACCCGUGUCUACCGUCCCUUGUUGCUUCGGCGGGUCCGCCCUUCGGGGCAGCCGGGGGGCCUCUGUGCCCCCGGGCUCCGUGCCCGCCGGAGACGUCCCCACGAACCCGGUGUGAAGGUUGCCGUCUGAGUGGAUGAUCUCCAAUCGUAAUUAAAACUUUCAACAACGGAUCUCUUGGUUCCG